This 492-nucleotide ribosomal RNA is filed under the name uncultured bacterium. RNAcentral describes it as "partial 16S ribosomal RNA". It matches the Rfam family "Bacterial small subunit ribosomal RNA", at positions 29 to 507 of the family's 1533-position model. The record is from RNAcentral.
AGUGAACGCUGGCGGUAGGCCUAACACAUGCAAGUCGAACGGCAGCACAGUAAGAGCUUGCUCUUACGGGUGGCGAGUGGCGGACGGGUGCGGAAUACAUCGGAAUCUACUUUUUCGUGGGGGAUAACGUAGGGAAACUUACGCUAAUACCGCAUACGACCUACGGGUGAAAGCAGGGGAUCUUCGGACCUUGCGCGAUUGAAUGAGCCGAUGUCGGAUUAGCUAGUUGGCGGGGUAAAGGCCCACCAAGGCGACGAUCCGUAGCUGGUCUGAGAGGAUGAUCAGCCACACUGGAACUGAGACACGGUCCAGACUCCUACGGGAGGCAGCGGUGGGGAAUAUUGGACAAUGGGCGCAAGCCUGAUCCAGCCAUACCGCGUGGGUGAAGAAGGCCUUCGGGUUGUAAAGCCCUUUUGUUGGGAAAGAAAAGCAGCAGGUUAAUACCCCGCUGUUCUGACGGUACCCAAAGAAUAAGCAACGGCUAACUUCGUG